UACGUAGGUGGCAAGCGUUGUCCGGAAUUAUUGGGCGUAAAGCGCGCGCAGGCGGCCUUUUAAGUCUGAUGUGAAAGCCCACGGCUCAACCGUGGAAGGUCAUUGGAAACUGAAGGGCUUGAGUACAGAAGAGGAAAGCGGAAUUCCACGUGUAGCGGUGAAAUGCGUAGAGAUGUGGAGGAACACCAGUGGCGAAGGCGGCUUUCUGGUCUGUAACUGAUGCUGAGGCGCGAAAGCGUGGGGAGCAAACAGG
Molecule: ribosomal RNA, 253 nt
Filed under: uncultured bacterium
Lineage: Bacteria
Description: partial 16S ribosomal RNA
Rfam family: Bacterial small subunit ribosomal RNA
Source: RNAcentral